This 27-nucleotide microRNA is filed under the name Cavia porcellus (domestic guinea pig). RNAcentral describes it as "cpo-miR-500a-3p". Its record names the gene cpo-miR-500a-3p. Lineage: Eukaryota; Metazoa; Chordata; Mammalia; Rodentia; Caviidae. The record is from miRBase by way of RNAcentral.
AUGCAUCUGGGCAAGAGAAGGGUUCUG